GGAAUUUUCCCAAGUUACUUGAUAUGGACAGAGGCACUGGGACUCUUAUUGUCAAAAUUCCAUCUAGCUUUGUGUUGUCACAAUGGGUCUCCUCAGCGAUUGUGGUUGGGUCACAGAUGUUUGCCUUCUGAGUCUGGAAGUAUUUCUGCUGGAGUCUUUCUGUGAUUUUGAAUCCUGAUCAUUACCAGAGUGUUCAGGCACAAGUUUCCCCAAGGAAGAAUGGCAGAACACAUUCUCUGUAGCUCCUUCAGUCCCCCUUACUGGGAUAGUCUGGAGGGCUUUGGGACUCCCAGUUUCUGUGCCUGGGGAUUACAGUUCACUCUGAACACUGCCACCAGAAUGUGAACCACCUCUAGAUUAUCUGGCCAUCUUUUAAACAUCUGAACAUUGUUUCCUAAGCUUCCAGCGUGCAUCAAUUUCAAACUGACCAAUGUCAGUUCCCUGAGUCUCACAUCGCCCUUGGAGGACCUAGGUACCGCAUCUGGCCUCUCACCAUUCCUUUCACGUCUCGUCACUCCAUACCAUCACAAUCUGCUCAUUCUGGGGCACUUCCCAAAUUAUACAUCAGGAAAGUGAACCAUGUUCCAGUUUUCACAUCAGAAUGAACAAGGCCGGGCCUGCUAAUCAGCUGGAAAUGAUCAACGCUGCUCUCUUCACCACAAAACUCUGCCCCUGGUCUUGGGCUCUUUUGUCUACAGUUCUUGGGGCUACUCACAAAGCAAAAACCACCCAUCGCUCUUGAUGCUCAGAUAAUGCUUCUGUAUCCCUGUUCCUCCCCGUCUCCCACCCCCUAAAUACAACUCAUCAAGUAGGAUUUCAAGCUGGAAGGAAUUAAAAGGGAAAAUUUGUAUAUAAUAUAUAUAUGAUGCAUAAAAUAUAUGUGUAUAUCAGAC
RNAcentral lists this long non-coding RNA (893 nucleotides) under Phascolarctos cinereus (koala). RNAcentral describes it as "lncRNA (ENSPCIG00000028056.2)". Lineage: Eukaryota; Metazoa; Chordata; Mammalia; Diprotodontia; Phascolarctidae. The record is from RNAcentral.